RNAcentral lists this microRNA precursor (78 nucleotides) under Schistosoma margrebowiei. RNAcentral describes it as "mir-3492 microRNA precursor family". It matches the Rfam family "mir-3492 microRNA precursor family". Lineage: Eukaryota; Metazoa; Platyhelminthes; Trematoda; Strigeidida; Schistosomatidae. The record is from Rfam by way of RNAcentral.
AGCCCUCUGUAUCCGUGCUGAGAUUUCGUCACACGGCAGACAAUAAGGGUUGAUGAAACUUCCAAGAUAAGUGAAGCG